Molecule: ribosomal RNA, 2140 nt
Filed under: Escherichia coli
Lineage: Bacteria; Pseudomonadati; Pseudomonadota; Gammaproteobacteria; Enterobacterales; Enterobacteriaceae
Description: partial 23S ribosomal RNA
Rfam family: Bacterial large subunit ribosomal RNA
Source: RNAcentral
GGGUUGUGAGGUUAAGCGACUAAGCGUACACGGUGGAUGCCCUGGCAGUCAGAGGCGAUGAAGGACGUGCUAAUCUGCGAUAAGCGUCGGUAAGGUGAUAUGAACCGUUAUAACCGGCGAUUUCCGAAUGGGGAAACCCAGUGUGAUUCGUCACACUAUCAUUAACUGAAUCCAUAGGUUAAUGAGGCGAACCGGGGGAACUGAAACAUCUAAGUACCCCGAGGAAAAGAAAUCAACCGAGAUUCCCCCAGUAGCGGCGAGCGAACGGGGAGCAGCCCAGAGCCUGAAUCAGUGUGUGUGUUAGUGGAAGCGUCUGGAAAGGCGCGCGAUACAGGGUGACAGCCCCGUACACAAAAAUGCACAUGCUGUGAGCUCGAUGAGUAGGGCGGGACACGUGGUAUCCUGUCUGAAUAUGGGGGGACCAUCCUCCAAGGCUAAAUACUCCUGACUGACCGAUAGUGAACCAGUACCGUGAGGGAAAGGCGAAAAGAACCCCGGCGAGGGGAGUGAAAAAGAACCUGAAACCGUGUACGUACAAGCAGUGGGAGCACGCUUAGGCGUGUGACUGCGUACCUUUUGUAUAAUGGGUCAGCGACUUAUAUUCUGUAGCAAGGUUAACCGAAUAGGGGAGCCGAAGGGAAACCGAGUCUUAACUGGGCGUUAAGUUGCAGGGUAUAGACCCGAAACCCGGUGAUCUAGCCAUGGGCAGGUUGAAGGUUGGGUAACACUAACUGGAGGACCGAACCGACUAAUGUUGAAAAAUUAGCGGAUGACUUGUGGCUGGGGGUGAAAGGCCAAUCAAACCGGGAGAUAGCUGGUUCUCCCCGAAAGCUAUUUAGGUAGCGCCUCGUGAAUUCAUCUCCGGGGGUAGAGCACUGUUUCGGCAAGGGGGUCAUCCCGACUUACCAACCCGAUGCAAACUGCGAAUACCGGAGAAUGUUAUCACGGGAGACACACGGCGGGUGCUAACGUCCGUCGUGAAGAGGGAAACAACCCAGACCGCCAGCUAAGGUCCCAAAGUCAUGGUUAAGUGGGAAACGAUGUGGGAAGGCCCAGACAGCCAGGAUGUUGGCUUAGAAGCAGCCAUCAUUUAAAGAAAGCGUAAUAGCUCACUGGUCGAGUCGGCCUGCGCGGAAGAUGUAACGGGGCUAAACCAUGCACCGAAGCUGCGGCAGCGACGCUUAUGCGUUGUUGGGUAGGGGAGCGUUCUGUAAGCCUGUGAAGGUGUGCUGUGAGGCAUGCUGGAGGUAUCAGAAGUGCGAAUGCUGACAUAAGUAACGAUAAAGCGGGUGAAAAGCCCGCUCGCCGGAAGACCAAGGGUUCCUGUCCAACGUUAAUCGGGGCAGGGUGAGUCGACCCCUAAGGCGAGGCCGAAAGGCGUAGUCGAUGGGAAACAGGUUAAUAUUCCUGUACUUGGUGUUACUGCGAAGGGGGGACGGAGAAGGCUAUGUUGGCCGGGCGACGGUUGUCCCGGUUUAAGCGUGUAGGCUGGUUUUCCAGGCAAAUCCGGAAAAUCAAGGCUGAGGCGUGAUGACGAGGCACUACGGUGCUGAAGCAACAAAUGCCCUGCUUCCAGGAAAAGCCUCUAAGCAUCAGGUAACAUCAAAUCGUACCCCAAACCGACACAGGUGGUCAGGUAGAGAAUACCAAGGCGCUUGAGAGAACUCGGGUGAAGGAACUAGGCAAAAUGGUGCCGUAACUUCGGGAGAAGGCACGCUGAUAUGUAGGUGAAGUCCCUCGCGGAUGGAGCUGAAAUCAGUCGAAGAUACCAGCUGGCUGCAACUGUUUAUUAAAAACACAGCACUGUGCAAACACGAAAGUGGACGUAUACGGUGUGACGCCUGCCCGGUGCCGGAAGGUUAAUUGAUGGGGUCAGCGCAAGCGAAGCUCUUGAUCGAAGCCCCGGUAAACGGCGGCCGUAACUAUAACGGUCCUAAGGUAGCGAAAUUCCUUGUCGGGUAAGUUCCGACCUGCACGAAUGGCGUAAUGAUGGCCAGGCUGUCUCCACCCGAGACUCAGUGAAAUUGAACUCGCUGUGAAGAUGCAGUGUACCCGCGGCAAGACGGAAAGACCCCGUGAACCUUUACUAUAGCUUGACACUGAACAUUGAGCCUUGAUGUGUAGGAUAGGUGGGAGGCUU